GACACUUUGGCCGAGUGGUUUAAGGCGCAGGCCUGCUACUACACUACCUUAUUGUACUAGCUGUUUAGCCUGUGGGUUCGCCCGCCUGGGUUCGAGUCCCAGAGGUGUCG
Molecule: non-coding RNA, 110 nt
Organism: Aspergillus eucalypticola CBS 122712
Lineage: Eukaryota; Fungi; Ascomycota; Eurotiomycetes; Eurotiales; Aspergillaceae
Source: the annotation of a RefSeq genome assembly